UGGGAAACUGCCUGAUGGAGGGGGAUAACUACUGGAAACGGUAGCUAAUACCGCAUAACGUCGCAAGACCAAAGAGGGGGACCUUCGGGCCUCUUGCCAUCGGAUGUGCCCAGAUGGGAUUAGCUAGUAGGUGGGGUAACGGCUCACCUAGGCGACGAUCCCUAGCUGGUCUGAGAGGAUGACCAGCCACACUGGAACUGAGACACGGUCCAGACUCCUACGGGAGGCAGCAGUGGGGAAUAUUGCACAAUGGGCGCAAGCCUGAUGCAGCCAUGCCGCGUGUAUGAAGAAGGCCUUCGGGUUGUAAAGUACUUUCAGCGGGGAGGAAGGGAGUAAAGUUAAUACCUUUGCUCAUUGACGUUACCCGCAGAAGAAGCACCGGCUAACUCCGUGCCAGCAGCCGCGGUAAUACGGAGGGUGCAAGCGUUAAUCGGAAUUACUGGGCGUAAAGCGCACGCAGGCGGUUUGUUAAGUCAGAUGUGAAAUCCCCGGGCUCAACCUGGGAACUGCAUCUGAUACUGGCAAGCUUGA
This 531-nucleotide ribosomal RNA is filed under the name Escherichia coli. Its description in RNAcentral is "bacterial SSU rRNA". It matches the Rfam family "Bacterial small subunit ribosomal RNA", at positions 118 to 645 of the family's 1533-position model. The record is from RNAcentral. Lineage: Bacteria; Pseudomonadati; Pseudomonadota; Gammaproteobacteria; Enterobacterales; Enterobacteriaceae.